ACUGAAACAUCUAAGUACCCUGAGGAAAAGAAAUCAACCGAGAUUCCCUUAGUAGUGGCGAGCGAACGGGGACUAGCCCUUAAGUGGCUUUGAGAUUAGCGGAACGCUCUGGAAAGUGCGGCCAUAGUGGGUGAUAGCCCUGUACGCGAAAAUCUCUUAGUCAUGAAAUCGAGUAGGACGUAGCACGAAAAACUUUGUCUGAAUAUGGGGGGACCAUCCUCCAAGGCUAAAUACUACUGACUGACCGAUAGUGAACUAGUACCGUGAGGGAAAGGCGAAAAGAACCCCGGAGAGGGGAGUGAAAUAGAUCCUGAAACCGUAUGCGUACAAGCAGUGGGAGCCCACUUUGUUGGGUGACUGCGUACCUUUUGUAUAAUGGGUCAGCGACUUAUUUUCAGUGGCGAGCUUAACCGAAUAGGGGAGGCGUAGCGAAAGCGGGUCUUAAUAGGGCGUCUAGUCGCUGGGAAUAGACCCGAAACCGGGCGAUCUAUCCAUGGGCAGGUUGAAGGUUGGGUAACACUAACUGGAGGACCGAACCGACUACCGUUGAAA
RNAcentral lists this ribosomal RNA (552 nucleotides) under Bacillus pseudomycoides. RNAcentral describes it as "bacterial LSU rRNA". It matches the Rfam family "Bacterial large subunit ribosomal RNA", at positions 192 to 794 of the family's 2925-position model. Lineage: Bacteria; Bacillati; Bacillota; Bacilli; Caryophanales; Bacillaceae. The record is from RNAcentral.